This 858-nucleotide non-coding RNA is filed under the name Trichomonas vaginalis G3. RNAcentral describes it as "Eukaryotic large subunit ribosomal RNA". It matches the Rfam family "Eukaryotic large subunit ribosomal RNA", at positions 820 to 1727 of the family's 3401-position model. The record is from Rfam by way of RNAcentral. Lineage: Eukaryota; Parabasalia; Trichomonadida; Trichomonadidae.
AAGGUGGUGACUUUGCCUGCACAGGUUGAAGUCAGGGGAAACUCUGAUGGAGGACCGUACGGGUUAUUGAUGUGCAAAUCAUUUUUCUGAUGUAGGUAAAGGUGCGAAAGACUCAUCGAACCACCUAAUAGCUGGUUUCCUCCGAAGUUUCCCUCAGGAUAGCUGUAAUGCAUUUAGUUAAGGGGAGUAGAGAUAUGGGUAGAGGUGCAGGGAGCCUUCGGGUUCUCAACUUAUUUCCAAACUUCGAACCUCCUUGUUAGGCAUUUACCUAACUGGAAAUGCUUAAAUGAAUUAGCGUUACAAGUGGGCUCUGACCGGUAAGCGGUCAUGGCGAAAUGGGAUGAACCAUACGUCUGAAUAAGGUGCCGAAAUGUACUAUCACUGAUACCAUAAAGGGAGUCCAUGUAUUUAGACAGCAGGUCGGUGCCCCUAAAAGCAGGUAUCCGCUAAAGAGUGUGUUAAAACUCACCUGCCGAAUACUAGGGCCCCGAAAAUGAAUGGCGCAUAUAGUACUACCGAUCUCAGACAUCAGUUCUAUUGAACUGAGAGUAGGGGGAUGUGGACAUUUUUGUGAAGGUGCAAUGUGAGUUGGACUGGAAGAAUGUCUAUUACAGAUCCUAAUUGAAGUAGCGAUUAUCCAGGCUUGUAUCCUGGGGGCUGAUGAGGAGUAGGGUUUCUGGACAACUUAAACAGAUCCAGAGUUAGUCGAUCCUAAUCUCAAUAAUGGGAGAAAGGGAGUACAGUUGAUAUUCUGUAACUGACAACAGUUCGCGGCAACGCAUACUAUUUUUCUCCGCCAAUCUUAUACCGUUGGUAGGGAUCUCUUUCCUACAUGACAGUACUAAUACCCAGGGAAAC